RNAcentral lists this ribosomal RNA (484 nucleotides) under uncultured bacterium. RNAcentral describes it as "partial 16S ribosomal RNA". It matches the Rfam family "Bacterial small subunit ribosomal RNA", at positions 30 to 507 of the family's 1533-position model. The record is from RNAcentral.
AUUGAACGCUGGCGGCAGGCCUAACACAUGCAAGUCGAGCGGAUCAAGGGAGCUUGCUCCUGGAUUCAGCGGCGGACGGGUGAGUAAUGCCUAGGAAUCUGCCUGGUAGUGGGGGAUAACGUCCGGAAACGGGCGCUAAUACCGCAUACGUCCUGAGGGAGAAAGUGGGGGAUCUUCGGACCUCACGCUAUCAGAUGGGCCUAGGUCGGAUUAGCUAGUUGGUGGGGUAAAGGCCUACCAAGGCGACGAUCCGUAACUGGUCUGAGAGGAUGAUCAGUCACACUGGAACUGAGACACGGUCCAGACUCCUACGGGAGGCAGCAGUGGGGAAUAUUGGACAAUGGGCGAAAGCCUGAUCCAGCCAUGCCGCGUGUGUGAAGAAGGUCUUCGGAUUGUAAAGCACUUUAAGUUGGGAGGAAGGGCAGUAAGUUAAUACCUUGCUGUUUUGACGUUACCAACAGAAUAAGCACCGGCUAACUUCGUG